GAAGACUCAUUAUUGAAGAUUACAUUCAAACCAAUCACUCAGAAGCAGAAAACAGAGGAAACACACCAAAAAGCAAAACAGAGUUGAUGAGAAUUGGGCAAUUAGGUCAUCGCCACUUUUAUUGUUUGUGAGAGAAUUGAGGCAAUUAGGUCAUCGCCACUUUUAUUCAAAUCUUCUGAUUCACUUAAAGAACCUUUUGAGCAGAAGGCCUAGAAGUGAUGUCAGCAACCCAAGCACUGACAUGUGGACGCUCGUCGAAGAGUUUCUUAGUUGGAGUUCCAAGUAAGUACUGAAUCACAGGGAUAGUGUGAAGAUCGACCAAAGUGAAGUGAUCAGCAG
This 339-nucleotide long non-coding RNA is filed under the name Arabidopsis lyrata. Its description in RNAcentral is "long non-coding RNA (ALYR_LNC002939)". The record is from RNAcentral. Lineage: Eukaryota; Viridiplantae; Streptophyta; Magnoliopsida; Brassicales; Brassicaceae.